CCUACGGGGGGCUGCAGUCGAGAAUCUUCGGCAAUGGGCGCAAGCCUGACCGAGCGACGCCGCGUGCGGGAUGAAGGCCUUCGGGUUGUAAACCGCUGUCGGAGAGGCGGAAAUUCUUAGGGGUACUCCCCUAUGAUUGACCUAUUCUCGGAGGAAGUCCGGGCUAAGUUCGUGCCAGCAGCCGCGGUAAUACGGACCGGACAAACGUUAUUCGGAAUCACUGGGCUUAAAGAGUACGUAGGCGGCUCAGAAAGUUGGGUGUGAAAUCCCUCGGCUCAACCGAGGAAUUGCGCUCAAAACUACUGAGCUUGAGGAAGGUAGGGGUAAGCGGAACUGAUGGUGGAGCGGUGAAAUGCGUUGAUAUCAUCAGGAACACCAGUGGCGAAGGCGGCUUACUGGGCCUUUUCUGACGCUGAGGUACGAAAGCUAGGGUAGCGAACGGGAUUAGAUACCCCAGUAGUC
RNAcentral lists this ribosomal RNA (462 nucleotides) under uncultured bacterium. RNAcentral describes it as "bacterial SSU rRNA". It matches the Rfam family "Bacterial small subunit ribosomal RNA", at positions 338 to 795 of the family's 1533-position model. The record is from RNAcentral.